This is a small nucleolar RNA of Heterocephalus glaber (naked mole-rat), 100 nucleotides long. The record is from Ensembl. Lineage: Eukaryota; Metazoa; Chordata; Mammalia; Rodentia; Bathyergidae.
AGCCUUCAGUUCAUGCACGAUGGUUGGGUGUUCACGCCAUAUGCAUGAGAUGUGCCUCCCUCAAACCUUAUUACAACGUCGGCACAUUACCCACCUGACG